This 465-nucleotide ribosomal RNA is filed under the name uncultured bacterium. RNAcentral describes it as "partial 16S ribosomal RNA". It matches the Rfam family "Bacterial small subunit ribosomal RNA", at positions 338 to 795 of the family's 1533-position model. The record is from RNAcentral.
CCUACGGGAGGCAGCAGUAGGGAAUCUUCCACAAUGGGCGAAAGCCUGAUGGAGCAACGCCGCGUGGGUGAAGAAGGUCUUCGGAUCGUAAAACCCUGUUGUUAGAGAAGAAAGAGCGUGCGAGUAACUGUUAACGUUUCGACGGUAUCUAACCAGACAGCCACGGCUAACUACGUGCCAGCUGCCGCGGUACUACGUAGGUGGCAAGCGUUAUCCGGAUUUAUUGGGCGUGAAGGUACCGCAGGCGGUCUUUUAAGUCUGAUGUGAAAGCCAUCGGCUUAACCGGAGUAGUGCAUUGGAUACGGGGAGACUUGAGUGCAGAAGAGGAGAGUGGAACUCCAUGUGUAGCGGUGAAAUGCGGAGAUAUAUGGAAGAACACCAGUGGCGAAGGCGGCUCUCUGGUCUGUAACUGACGCUGAGGUUCGAAAGCGUGGGUAGCAAACAGGAUUAGAUACCCGAGUAGUC